RNAcentral lists this ribosomal RNA (227 nucleotides) under uncultured bacterium. RNAcentral's name for it is "partial 16S ribosomal RNA". It matches the Rfam family "Bacterial small subunit ribosomal RNA", at positions 524 to 751 of the family's 1533-position model. The record is from RNAcentral.
UACGUAGGUGGCAAGCGUUUGUCCGGAUUAUUGGGCGUAAAGCGCGCGCAGGUGGUGCGGUAGGUCUGCCGUGAAAUCUCCCGGCUCAACUGGGAGGGGCGGUGGAGACUGCCGGACUGGAGGGACUCAGAGGCCGGUGGAAUUCCCGGUGUAGUGGUGAAAUGCGUAGAGAUCGGGAGGAACACCAGUGGCGAAGGCGGCCGGCUGGGGGUGCCCUGACGCUGAGG